UGUCCAGUAGCACCUUAGAGACCAACUAAGUUUGUUCUUGGUAUAAGAUUUCAUGUGCAUGCACACUUCUUCAGAUACCAAGAACAAACUUAGUUGCUCUCUAAGGUGCUACUGGACA
RNAcentral lists this microRNA precursor (118 nucleotides) under Podarcis lilfordi (Lilford's wall lizard). Lineage: Eukaryota; Metazoa; Chordata; Lepidosauria; Squamata; Lacertidae. The record is from RNAcentral.